Molecule: non-coding RNA, 3008 nt
Organism: Taeniopygia guttata (zebra finch)
Lineage: Eukaryota; Metazoa; Chordata; Aves; Passeriformes; Estrildidae
Source: RefSeq, a predicted model, not a curated record
ACCCAGGCAGACCCUACAAUGACGGUGGCAGCCUCUGAGCAUGGCCAAAGUGUGCAGCCCGAGCAACUGGGCAUUCUUAGGAGAAUGCUGAGCAAGGGACCACAGCCCGGUGACCACAGGACCUUCCCAGCAGGCGAGGCAGCCUUCUCAACCCCAGAUGCUGGAGAGAUAAGUUGAGGGCUAAGGCCCACAGAGGGGAAUCAGCUUUGUGGGCGGGGAUGUGCAAGAAGUGCCCCUCUAGGCCACUUAAAGGGAAAGUGUCUGUUUAGAUCACAGUGCUGAGGUGCACAGGGCAGAGCAGUUCCGGUGUGUGUCCUGUCACUUGUCUCUGGUGCACUCUGUGUUCUUUGGGUCUCUCGGUCCUUUCUUCUCAUCAAAAGCUCUCUCUCCCUCUCCUGUCCCCUCCUUUGUCACGUCCUGUCCUGUGUCACGGGUGUCUGCACAUAUUCAUCCCGGAGCUGCUCUGCCCUGGUGCAUAGCUUGUAACAGCACAAGUUCUGGGGACUUGAAAUUUCUAUUGGGAGAUUGCCAUAACAUUUUUGGUGCUGUUAAGUCCUGCAGCCAUUUGACACUAGUUCUAACUUCCUUUCAGAUGCAGACAGUUCAAAUCUGUGGCAGAGGGCACCAGUCCUGGGUGAGUAUCUUCCCAUGAGCAGGUCGGUCAUUGUUUGCAUUUGCAGGGGAAGCGUAAAUGGGUGACUGUGUUACAGCGGUGUUCUUUGCCUUUAUUUUUAGGAGGUCCAGACAGAUAGCAGCAGUCAAGGCCCAGGGUGCCAGGUGAGCAGUGGACAGAAGCAGUUGUUUUUGCUCAGGUUUCAGUUUUUGGUGCAACUGUAAGCAACCAUUCUUGUUUGUGUACUUUGGGGAAUCCCCUCAGAGUAUGCAUAGCAGCUGUCACCAGCUGGCCGAUGGACUGGGUUUCCUGUGCUUUAUGAGACCUCUGGAAGUAUAGCAGGACUCUGUGAUGAAGCCUAAAAAUUUUGUAUUUCAGGGUCCCACCCUGGUAGCCCAGAGGAAUGGACAAGGAAUUGCGGUGAGUCGGGGAGGUAGGGAGGAGGAGUGUGGGUACACUCAAGUUUCAGCAAUGCCACAUCACCCCCUCUCCACUUAACCUCUCUGUACCCGGAGAUGAUGCUGUCGGCCUCGAAGCACACCUGAGGGGUAUGGCCUGGGCAUUCUGAGGAGGAUGGUGAAUAGCAGAAUUAUCAGGUUUUGGCCGAUGUGUUGUUAAGACUGUGCACUGAUGUUUGGUUUUCUUUCUCUUGGCAGACCAAGAGGUGACAGCUGGAACUUACCAGACAGGCAGACGGCCUUUUUCUGCAGCCAACAGGGAUUUGCAUCCCCAGAUGCAUGCAAGAUAAGUGGAGGGUUAUGACCCACAGAGCGGAUGGAGGUGGGGUGCCAGGUUGGGACUUUCUAGAAGAGGUUUUUGUGUCUGUAGUAGAGAUGGGGAUGUCCAAGAAGCAUCCCCUUAGGUCACCUAAAGGGACAGUGUCUGUUUUGAUCUCUGUGCUGAGGUGCACAGGGCAGAGCAGUUCCGGUGUGUGUCCUGUCACUUGUCUCUGGUGCACUCUGUGUUCUUUGGGUCUCUCGGUCCUUUCUUCUCAUCAAAAGCUCUCUCUCCCUCUCCUGUCCCCUUGUUUGUCAUGUCCUGUCCUGUGUCACGGGUGUCUGCACAUAUUCAUCCCGGAGCUGCUCUGCCCUGCUGCAUAGCCUGUAAUAGCACAAGUGCUGGGGACUUGAAAUUUGUAAUGCAGGGUGUAGUUGGGCUCUAGACUGGAUUAAGAGAUUGCCAUAACAUGUUUGGUACUGUUAAGUUUUCCUGCAGCUGUUUGACCCUAGUCCUAACUUCCUUUCAGAUGCAUACAGUUCAAAUCUGUGGAAGAGGGCACCAGUCCUGGGAAGUCCAGGCAGAUAGCAGCUGUCAAGGCCAAGUCUGCCAGGGAAUCCACUGGGUGUAUGCCAAGCCCCUGUCACCAGCUGGCCGAUGGACCGGGUUUCCUGCACUUAUGAGCCCUCUGGAAGUAUUACAGGACCCUGUGAUGAAGCCUACCGGUUUUGUAUUUCAAGGUCCCCUCCUGGUAGCCCAGAGGAAUGGCCGAGGAGUUGUGGUGUACCCUGUGUUGAAGGUGUCGGCCUCCAAGCACGCCUGAGGUGCGUGGCCUGAGCAUUCUUAGGAAACGACCAAGAGAGAACAGCCUGGUGACAACUGGAAUUUCCCAGACCGGCAGGAGGCCUCCUUCUGCACCUGAUGAGGAUUUGCAUCCCCAGAUAUGUGCAAGAUAAGUCAAGGGUUACGACCCACAAAGGGGAUGGAAGAGAGGUGCCAGAUGCAGACAGUUCAAAUCUGUGGCAGUGGGCUCCAGACCUGGGUGAGGACCUUCCAAUGAGCAGGAGGUCCAGGCAGAUAGCAGCUGUCAAGGCCAAGUCUGCCAGGGAAUCCACUGGGUGUAUGCCAAGCCCCUGUCACCAGCUGGCUGAUGGACCAGGUUUCCUGCACUUAUGAGCCCUCUGGAAGUAUUACAGGACCCUGUGAUGAAGCCUACCGGUUUUGUAUUUCAAGGUCCCCUCCUGGUAGCCCAGAGGAAUGGCCGAGGAGUUGUGGUGUACCCUGUGUUGAAGGUGUCGGCCUCCAAGCACGCCUGAGGUGCGUGGCCCGAGCAUUCUUAGGAAACGACCAAGAGAGAACAGCCUGGUGACAACUGGAAUUUCCCAGACCGGCAGGAGGCCUCCUUCUGCACCUGAUGAGGAUUUGCAUCCCCAGAUAUGUGCAAGAUAAGUCAAGGGUUACGACCCACAAAGGGGAUGGAAGAGAGGUGCCGGGUUGGGACUCCGCAGGAGGAGUUUUUGAGUCAAUUUUGGAGAUGGGGAUGUCCAAGAAGCAUCCCCUUAGGCCACCUAAAGUGCAAGUGUCUGUUUCGAUAUCUGUGCUGAGGUGCACAGGGCAGAGCAGUUCCGGUGUGUGUCCUGUCACUUGUCUCUGGUGCACUCUGUGUUCUUUGGGUCGC